CUGAAAGGGCGUCCGGCCACACUGGGACUGAGACACGGCCCAGACUCCUACGGGAGGCAGCAGUGGGGAAUAUUGCACAAUGGGCGAAAGCCUGAUGCAGCGACGCCGCGUGAGGGAUGACGGCCUUCGGGUUGUAAACCUCUUUCAGCAGGGAAGAAGCGAAAGUGACGGUACCUGCAGAAGAAGCGCCGGCUAACUACGUGCCAGCAGCCGCGGUAAUACGUAGGGCGCAAGCGUUGUCCGGAAUUAUUGGGCGUAAAGAGCUCGUAGGCGGCUUGUCACGUCGGUUGUGAAAGCCCGGGGCUUAACCCCGGGUCUGCAAUCGAUACGGGCAGGCUAGAGUUCGGUAGGGAAGAUCGAAAUUCC
RNAcentral lists this ribosomal RNA (366 nucleotides) under Streptomyces griseoaurantiacus. RNAcentral describes it as "bacterial SSU rRNA". It matches the Rfam family "Bacterial small subunit ribosomal RNA", at positions 292 to 670 of the family's 1533-position model. Lineage: Bacteria; Bacillati; Actinomycetota; Actinomycetes; Kitasatosporales; Streptomycetaceae. The record is from RNAcentral.